CUACGGGUUGCUGCAGUGGGGAAUAUUGCACAAUGGGCGCAAGCCUGAUGCAGCCAUGCCGCGUGUAUGAAGAAGGCCUUCGGGUUGUAAAGUACUUUCAGCGGGGAGGAAGGGAGUAAAGUUAAUACCUGUGCUCAUUGACGUUACCUGCAGAAGAAGCACCGGCUAACUCCGUGCCAGCAGCCGCGGUAAUACGGAGGGUGCAAGCGUUAAUCGGAAUUACUGGGCGUAAAGCGCACGCAGGCGGUUUGUUAAGUCAGAUGUGAAAUCCCCGGGCUCAACCUGGGAACUGCAUUUGAUACUGGCAAGCUUGAGUCUCGUAGAGGGGGGUAGAAUUCCAGGUGUAGCGGUGAAAUGCGUAGAGAUCAGGAGGAACACCGGUGGCGAAGGCGGCCCCCUGGACGAAGACUGACGCUCAGGUACGAAAGCGUGGGGAGCAAACAGGAUUAGAUACCCCAGUAGUC
This 464-nucleotide ribosomal RNA is filed under the name uncultured bacterium. RNAcentral's name for it is "partial 16S ribosomal RNA". It matches the Rfam family "Bacterial small subunit ribosomal RNA", at positions 339 to 795 of the family's 1533-position model. The record is from RNAcentral.